This is a non-coding RNA of Hordeum vulgare subsp. vulgare (domesticated barley), 136 nucleotides long. Lineage: Eukaryota; Viridiplantae; Streptophyta; Magnoliopsida; Poales; Poaceae. The record is from Rfam.
UGAAUACUCCCUCCGUCCCAAAAUUAUUGUCUUAGCUUUAUCUAGAUAUGAAUGUAUCUAGUCACGUUUUAGUAUUUAGAUACGUCCAUUUCUAGACAAACCUAAGACAAGAAUUUUGGGACUGAGGGAGUACCAU